GCGGGAGUAGCUCAGUGGUUAGAGCGCCGCCCUGUCACGGCGGAGGCCGCGGGUUCAAGUCCCGUCUUCCGCGCCA
Molecule: transfer RNA, 76 nt
Filed under: Fimbriimonas sp.
Lineage: Bacteria; Bacillati; Armatimonadota; Fimbriimonadia; Fimbriimonadales; Fimbriimonadaceae
Also listed under: 1 other name
Description: tRNA-Asp
Rfam family: tRNA
About the family: Transfer RNA (tRNA) molecules are approximately 80 nucleotides in length. Their secondary structure includes four short double-helical elements and three loops (D, anti-codon, and T loops).
Source: RNAcentral